This 5441-nucleotide long non-coding RNA is filed under the name Sus scrofa (pig). RNAcentral's name for it is "lncRNA (ENSSSCG00055017117.1)". Lineage: Eukaryota; Metazoa; Chordata; Mammalia; Artiodactyla; Suidae. The record is from RNAcentral.
UUUUUUUUUUUUUUUUUUUCCUGAGCCACGUCUGCGACCUACACCACAGCUCGCGGCAACUCCGGAUCCUCAACCCACCGAGCAAGGCCAGGGAUCAAACCUGCAACCUCAUGGUUCCUAGUCGGAUUCGUUAACCACUGCACCAUGACGGGGACUCCUAAAUUAAAGACUUUUUAAAAGGCCAUUCUUGUCAAUGCCUUACAGUCCCUAAGAAAUGACUCAUCACAUUUAAGAUCUGAAUGGAACAAUGGAGAUCAAAACCCAAUACCCUCACUUUCUAGACAAAACUAACGAGGACUUGAAGCUAGAGUUAAUGGCUGGGAGGCCACAUGGCAAUUUGGUGGCUCACCAGGGACCUGUUAAAAAUGUGUCUCCUUUCAUACUUCCCAAAUAGCAGUGUAGAGACCAUGAAAAUUCACUCCUUUAUAAUAAACAAGGGGAAGACUGGCAAAAAAGAAAUUCAAAGUCAACAUUUCUACCACUCUAAAAAUUGACCUAAGGAUUAUAGCAAUUCAGAGGGUUUAUUCAAGAAAAAUGUCUGAAUCAUCAUAAAAGCAAUGAGCUUUGUGACACUUUGGCAUGCUAUGUUUCCAUUUCUCCUUUCCCAUUUCCACAAGAGAAUCAAAACCUCCAGCCUCACAAUAAUGUAGUUAUUGACACAACCAGUCUAUCUGCCAGUAGUGGGGUGAAAAUGGUUUGAAGAUCCUCUAAAGCUCUAUGUCCAGAGAACUGCCACUACUUGACCCAUUUUGGCAGUACUAAAUUCUUUCAUUCUCAAGGCUUUUUUAUUAGAUCUGAUUAAGAGCUCUUUUUACACAAUCAACACUAUCUCUGGGAGUUUUCAUCAUGGCUCAGCAGUUAAUGAACCCAACUUGUAUCCAUGAGGAUGGAGAUUCAAUCCCUGACCUUGCUCAGUGGGUUAAGGGUCCAGCAUUGCUGUGAGCGGUGGUGUAGGUCACAGACAUGGCUUGGAUCUGGCCUUGCUGUGGCAUAGGUCAGCAGCUGCAGCUCCUAUUUGACCCCUAGCCUGGGAACCUCCAUAUGCCUCAUAUGUCACAGAAAGUGCAGCCCGAAAAUGACAAAAAAAUAACAGCAACAACGACAAAAAAGCCACUAUCCCUGGCGUGUUGUCAUAAACAAUAAGUGGCAAUUGUUUAACAUCUCCUGUGGUUGGAGCAGAGACUUCACUUGAGGCUACUGAAAAACUUAUUGAAAUAUUUAAAAGGAAAAAUUGGGGAAUGAGAGAUCCACAGAAAUCUUUUAAAACUUCUGACAUGUUCCUGGGAAUCCAGAGGCUACAUGCAUGUGCACAGCUGUCUGUAUGUCCAGAAAAGAUAUGAGAUGACCCUAAUUUCUCACCAGUGGCUAACCAUGAAGCUCUGCACAAAUAGGGAGUAAAGCUGACAGAGUUAUAAAUUAUACACAGGCACUUUGAACUCAUGGUCCAACACAUAUUGCACCACUCAGAACAGUUACUGUUUCAAAGCAUCUAAGGAAAUAUUCAUCCAGUCAUUACCUGAUAAGUAAGCUAAUCAUGCAAAGACUUUCAUGGUUGCCCACAAUGAAGAAUACAUACUUAACAGAGUUAAUCCAGAAAAGUCACUAAGUGAGCAGACGGUAUGAACUGCUCAAUUACUGUGAGGGGGGGGUGACAUAAUGUCUUGCCAAAUUAUAAUUUUAACCAAUUGAAAAAUUAAAGUUUUAAAUUUUACAUUACUACAUUUUUAAAAUUAUGGGACAUGCCAAGAAAUAGGGGGAUUACUUACACAACAACAAAAAAAAAAAGUCAAUAUAAACUGUGCCUGAGGAAACCCAGAUACUGGACUUACUAGACAAAGACUUUAAAUCAGCUAUUAUAAAUAUAUUUAAACAAGUAAAGGAAACCAUACCUUAAAGAUUAAAGAAAAUUAUGAGAUUUUUAUCACAAAAAGAAAUAUUAAUAAAGGAUAUAAAGAACCAAAUAGCAAUUACAGAGUAAAAAUUAUAAUAACUGAAAGGAAAAAGUCACUAGGGAGGUUUAAUAGAAUACUUUAAAUGGCAGACAAAAUAAUCCAUGAACUUUAACAGCUGGUCAGCUGGGCUUAUUAAUUCUUAACAACAGAAAGAAGAGGAGAAAAAAAAAAAGAAACAGAGGCUCAGAGACCCAUAUGACAACAUUAAUUGUAACAAAAUAGUUAUUACAAGAAUUCCAAAAGUAGAGAAGAUAUGGAAGUAAGUCGAAAGAAUAUUUGAAGAAAUAGUAUCUGAAUAAUUUCCAAGUUUGAUGAAAAACAUUAAUCUGAACAUCAAAGACCUCAAGAAAAUCCAAAUAAUAUGUAAGGGAAUCACAAAGAGGUCCACAUCUAGACAUCAUGGUCAAACAAUUUAAAACCGAAGACAGCGAUACUCUUAGAAACAGCAAGAGAGGAGUGGCUUUUCAUGUAAAAGUGAUCUUCAGUAAGGUUUUUUCUAUUAUUUAAUUUUUUAUUUUUUUAAUUUGAUUUACAAUGUUCCGUCAAUUUCUGCUGUACAGUAAUGAUUAAAUAGCUAAAUUCUCCUCUAGAGACAUGGAGGCCAAGAGCAGUGGCAUGACAUUUUCCACAUGAUGAAGAAAAAAACUGUCAACCAAAAACUUUACGUGAAGUAAAACUAGAUAAACAAAAACAGAGUAUUUAUUGCUAGCUGACCUCCCCCAGAAGAAAGACUAGAGAGUCCUUGUGGCUGAAAUAAAAGGGAAUUGUAUUGAGAAAAUACAUACAGGAGUUCCCGUCGUGGUGCAGUGGUUAACGAAUCCGACUAGGAACCAUGAGGUUGCGGGUUCGGUCCCUGCCCUUGCUCAGUGGGUUAACGAUCCGGCGUUCCCGUGAGCUGUGGUGUAGGAAGACCAGGUGGGAAGUUCUCAGUAGUGUGUGGAGUCCUCAUGAAAGAGAGGGUGUGGUUUUAAAAUGAUUAACAUCCCAGAGAUCCCAGAAGUCCUGAUUUAACAUACUUCUACUCUUCAAUAAAGGUGAUGUAUGCCUUAUAUAAAUAACUCUGAUUCAAUGAAUAUUCCUUUAUAACUUUUCAAUAAUAAGUUUAUGCAUUAAAUGAAAAGAAGAAAAGGAGGGAGGGAGGAAGGAGAGAGUGAAAACAAAAUGAAGAAAAGGAAGGAAGGCAAGAAAGGAAAACAUUCUGCUGUGAAUUCCUGCCAGCGAUUGAGACAGUGGAAAUUCUGCAUGUGUGAAAGAUUCUAAAGGAAGACAAGGGCAGCUCCAAGUUCCACUUGAUGUGGAGAGGCAAAACUUAGGGGAAGAAAUCAAGGUGUGUUUCAAAUUCUCAAAGUGAAGGAAAUAAGAAAUUUGAAAAAAAAAAAAAAGCCACAUGGAUGGCAGGCUACAUUUAGAGAAGUAAGGAUGUUUGGUGUUUAGCUAGAAGUCUUUUGUUAACACUUUCGCAAAAAAAAAAAAAAAAAAAAAAUCUCUGAACAUUAACUUUGUGGUUUUAUGAACCUUUCAUCUCUCUUCAGAUUUGUUUGGUUCUCUCUCUACCUAACCUGUUUAGGUGACCCCACCCCACUUGAUGGCUGCCUCUAGGAAAGCCUGGGGAUUAAGCAAGUCAAUUCGGGUCUCUUACAUACAACCCCUCAUCUCUGCCUCAUCACCUUGCUUUAAGUACCAAGCGCCCAGUGCCCCUACUAUUCACUUCUUGCCUGUUUUAGUACCACUGCCUCUAAUUCAGUUCCUUUGCCUAAGCCCACCCUCUGCGAACAGUGCCCAGACUUUAUAGUGACCACAUACAUAUUCUGAAUUUUCUUAUAACAGUCCCAAUGUGAACCACCUCCUUUUCUCAUCUCAGUCUGCUAUUGGGAAAAUUAUCACCAAGUCACUCCUCUCUUCACUUUCCCCUCUCAAAGGUAACUCAUCUUAACAAUCUGUUCAAGAUAUUAAAGACAUUAGCAUUAGGUUGUGAAUCCCUUUAGUAAGAUGUAGCAGUCUUAGCUGCCUUAGAAGGGCAACUACCCUCUUACUUAAAAUAAAUCCAGACAUGCCUGUCAGAAUAACACCAGCAUUAGUAUAAGAAUUCAAAUAAAAUUAAGCAUCGAUCAUCAUUUGGCAUUGCAAAGCCUUAGAAUUCACUUUCUAGUCUAUCAUAAUUAGCUUUUGUUAUCCUCUGAUAUAGGCGAAAUGAAUCAAUGACUUAACUCAAUGGGAUCCUAAUUUAUGUGUACUUGUAUUUAAUCAAAGAGGAUAUGUGUACUUGAAAAUCUCAUCCUCUAAAGAAAAGCAUUAUUUUAAGUUUAAAAAUAUCGUCCUGACAAUGCAUACCUGAUGGAGACAUCUAAAAGCUUCUCUAGUUUUAUCUGCAAUAAAAUUGUGUUAAAUUCAAGUCACAGUGUGCAGUUACAGUACAGCUGGAAAAGAUGCAAUGUUUUCUUAGAGAAAAUGCUUGGCAUCCAGGUGAGGGGAAUACAUAAAGGAGUAAAACUUAGGGAGCCAGGAACAGAUGUGAAAAAAUGAGACAGGAGUCUUUUGAUUCUCUGAGCUCGAGGCAAAAUCCCAUCUGUCAAGCACCUCUCUUGGAUUUCCCCAAAGACUCCUGCCUCCAGCUUUCCAGAUUGUCCUGGCAAUUAAACGUCUUCCAAGACCUGUCACAUUCAUCAUCGUAAACAUCUCUCAACAGGCUUCCAUUUGCACUCUGAUUUUCCAUGAUUUCCAUGAUCUCUACAGCCUGCUGGUCACCCCCUGAAACCCACGUAGGUUUCUCACAAUGAGCCUAAUACAUGGCAGCCAGAGCCAGCACCACCCCCAAAUGCAUUUCCCUUCUUUCAGGCUAGAGAACCUUCAGGAAGCAACAAAAGGUGCCCAGAUACUCUUUGUAGCACCAACUCUAGGAUGAUUAGACAGAUUUUUAAUUUGUUUAAGGUUGCUAUGGUUUGCUUUUUUUUGUUUGUUUGUUUUUUUGUAAUUUGUAGUGGUGGUCUUAGUCCUAAAAUGUAAAGAAAAACACACAAUCUUAAAUUCAAAAGACAUAUUUUUCAGGAAGAUUAAAAUUUAUUUAGCUAUAAAUGCAUCUAUUCUAUAUUAAUUAUUUAAAGGCAUAUAAGCUUCCUAGGAUUAUCAUUUCGCUGCAAAGUUCUUGGGAACUGCUCUCCUUCAAAAGGAUAAGUAAGGCCUCUAUGACACCAGGAAACAGGAAGGAAGCAGCAUGUGUUUAGGAAACAGAUCAAUCAGGGUAAAAUCCCAAACUAGACACUUACAGCAUGAAAAGGUAGCUAUAUCUCUGAUCUGACUUGCCUCAUUUCUAAACUGGCAUAAUAUCCCAAAUUUCUUAGACUUCCUAUGAACAAGCAAUAGCCUAGAAAACCAUACACACAGGACACAUCAAAGGAGAUGAAUCCAUGAAUCAUGUCCCUCUUGGGGUUCCCAUCUGCCAUGACAUCCCCUAGUGAGCAGGUGGUUAAUAAAGGCUGCUAAAUGACAGUG